RNAcentral lists this ribosomal RNA (500 nucleotides) under uncultured bacterium. RNAcentral's name for it is "partial 16S ribosomal RNA". It matches the Rfam family "Bacterial small subunit ribosomal RNA", at positions 30 to 523 of the family's 1533-position model. The record is from RNAcentral.
AUUGAACGCUGGCGGCAUGCUUUACACAUGCAAGUCGAACGGCAGCACGGACUUCGGUCUGGUGGCGAGUGGCGAACGGGUGAGUAAUACAUCGGAACGUACCCAGUAAUGGGGGAUAACUAUCCGAAAGGAUAGCUAAUACCGCAUACGCCCUACGGGGGAAAGAGGGGGAUCGCAAGACCUCUUGUUAUUGGAGCGGCCGAUGGCUGAUUAGCUAGUUGGUGAGGUAAAGGCUCACCAAGGCGACGAUCAGUAGCGGGUCUUAGAGGACGAUCCGCCACACGGGAACUGAGACACGGUCCAGACUCCUACGGGAGGCAGCAGUGGGGAAUCUUGGACAAUGGGCGCAAGCCUGAUCCAGCAAUGCCGCGUGCGUGAAGAAGGCCUUCGGGUUGUAAAGCGCUUUUGUCAGGGAGCAAAUCCUUGUGGCUAAUACCCACCGGGGAUGAGAGUACCUGAAGAAUAAGGACCGGCUAACUACGUGCCAGCCGCCGCAGUAA